GACAGAGGAUGCAAGCGUUAUCCGGAAUGAUUGGGCGUAAAGCGUCUGUAGGUGGCUUUUUAAGUCCGCCGUCAAAUCCCAGGGCUCAACCCUGGACAGGCGGUGGAAACUACCAAGCUGGAGUACGGUAGGGGCAGAGGGAAUUUCCGGGUGGAGCGGUGAAAUGCGUAGAGGAUCGGAAAGAACACCAACGGCGAAAAGCACUCUGCUGGGGCCGACACUGACACUGAGAGACGAAAGCUAGGGGGAGCGAAAUGGG
This 259-nucleotide ribosomal RNA is filed under the name uncultured bacterium. Its description in RNAcentral is "partial 16S ribosomal RNA". It matches the Rfam family "Bacterial small subunit ribosomal RNA", at positions 524 to 777 of the family's 1533-position model. The record is from RNAcentral.